Molecule: ribosomal RNA, 427 nt
Filed under: Pseudomonas sp.
Lineage: Bacteria; Pseudomonadati; Pseudomonadota; Gammaproteobacteria; Pseudomonadales; Pseudomonadaceae
Also listed under: 6 other names
Description: partial 16S ribosomal RNA
Rfam family: Bacterial small subunit ribosomal RNA
Source: RNAcentral
UGGGGAAUUUUGGACAAUGGGCGAAAGCCUGAUCCAGCAAUGCCGCGUGCAGGAUGAAGGCCUUCGGGUUGUAAACUGCUUUUGUACGGAACGAAAAAGCUCCUUCUAAUACAGGGGGCCCAUGACGGUACCGUAAGAAUAAGCACCGGCUAACUACGUGCCAGCAGCCGCGGUAAUACGUAGGGUGCGAGCGUUAAUCGGAAUUACUGGGCGUAAAGCGUGCGCAGGCGGUUAUGUAAGACAGAUGUGAAAUCCCCGGGCUCAACCUGGGAACUGCAUUUGUGACUGCAUGGCUAGAGUACGGUAGAGGGGGAUGGAAUUCCGCGUGUAGCAGUGAAAUGCGUAGAUAUGCGGAGGAACACCGAUGGCGAAGGCAAUCCCCUGGACCUGUACUGACGCUCAUGCACGAAAGCGUGGGGAGCAAACA